UACGUAGGGCGCAAGCGUUGUCCGGAAUUAUUGGGCGUAAAGAGCUCGUAGGCAGUUUGUCGCGUCUGCUGUGAAAACCUAAGGCUCAACCUUGGGCUUGCAGUGGGUACGGGCAGACUAGAGUGCGGUAGGGGUGACUGGAAUUCCUGGUGUAGCGGUGGAAUGCGCAGAUAUCAGGAGGAACACCGAUGGCGAAGGCAGGUCACUGGGCCGCAACUGACGCUGAGGAGCGAAAGCAUGGGGAGCGAACAGG
This 253-nucleotide ribosomal RNA is filed under the name uncultured bacterium. Its description in RNAcentral is "partial 16S ribosomal RNA". It matches the Rfam family "Bacterial small subunit ribosomal RNA", at positions 524 to 776 of the family's 1533-position model. The record is from RNAcentral.